RNAcentral lists this ribosomal RNA (453 nucleotides) under uncultured organism. RNAcentral's name for it is "partial 16S ribosomal RNA". It matches the Rfam family "Bacterial small subunit ribosomal RNA", at positions 329 to 798 of the family's 1533-position model. The record is from RNAcentral.
ACGUACACUCCUACGGGAGGCAGCAGUGGGGAAUAUUGGACAAUGGGCGCAAGCCUGAUCCAGCCAUGCCGCGUGAGUGAUGAAGGCCCUAGGGUUGUAAAGCUCUUUCACCGGUGAAGAUAAUGACGGUAACCGGAGAAGAAGCCCCGGCUAACUUCGUGCCAGCAGCCGCGGUAAUACGAAGGGGGCUAGCGUUGUUCGGAUUUACUGGGCGUAAAGCGCACGUAGGCGGACUAUUAAGUCAGGGGUGAAAUCCCGGGGCUCAACCCCGGAACUGCCUUUGAUACUGGUAGUCUUGAGUUCGAGAGAGGUGAGUGGAAUUCCGAGUGUAGAGGUGAAAUUCGUAGAUAUUCGGAGGAACACCAGUGGCGAAGGCGGCUCACUGGCUCGAUACUGACGCUGAGGUGCGAAAGCGUGGGGAGCAAACAGGAUUAGAAACCCUUGUAGUCCCAU